UAGGUUUUCGGACCUAGAGACCGGCGCACGGGUGCGUAACGCGUAUGCAAUCUACCUUUUACAGAGGGAUAGCCCAGAGAAAUUUGGAUUAAUACCUCAUAGUAUUAUUGAAUGGCAUCAUUUAAUAAUUAAAGUCACAACGGUAAAAGAUGAGCAUGCGUCCCAUUAGCUAGUUGGUAAGGUAACGGCUUACCAAGGCAACGAUGGGUAGGGGUCCUGAGAGGGAGAUCCCCCACACUGGUACUGAGACACGGACCAGACUCCUACGGGAGGCAGCAGUGAGGAAUAUUGGUCAAUGGGCGCAAGCCUGAACCAGCCAUGCCGCGUGCAGGAUGACGGUCCUAUGGA
This 348-nucleotide ribosomal RNA is filed under the name uncultured bacterium. RNAcentral's name for it is "bacterial SSU rRNA". It matches the Rfam family "Bacterial small subunit ribosomal RNA", at positions 73 to 422 of the family's 1533-position model. The record is from RNAcentral.